GACGAACGCUGGCGGCGUGCCUAAUACAUGCAAGUUGAGCGCUGAAGGUUGGUACUUGUACCAACUGGAUGAGCAGCGAACGGGUGAGUAACGCGUGGGGAAUCUGCCUUUGAGCGGGGGACAACAUUUGGAAACGAAUGCUAAUACCGCAUAAAAACUUUAAACACAAGUUUUAAGUUUGAAAGAUGCAAUUGCAUCACUCAAAGAUGAUCCCGCGUUGUAUUAGCUAGUUGGUGAGGUAAAGGCUCACCAAGGCGAUGAUACAUAGCCGACCUGAGAGGGUGAUCGGCCAUAUUGGGACUGAGACACGGCCCAAACUCCUACGGGAGGCAGCAGUAGGGAAUCUUCGGCAAUGGACGAAAGUCUGACCGAGCAACGCCGCGUGAGUGAAGAAGGUUUUCGGAUCGUAAAACUCUGUUGGUAGAGAAGAACGUUGGUGAGAGUGGAAAGCUCAUCAAGUGACGGUAACUACCCAGAAAGGGACGGCUAACUACGUG
RNAcentral lists this ribosomal RNA (497 nucleotides) under uncultured bacterium. RNAcentral's name for it is "partial 16S ribosomal RNA". It matches the Rfam family "Bacterial small subunit ribosomal RNA", at positions 28 to 507 of the family's 1533-position model. The record is from RNAcentral.